AGUGAACGCUGGCGGUAGGCCUAACACAUGCAAGUCGAACGGCAGCACAGUAAGAGCUUGCUCUUACGGGUGGCGAGUGGCGGACGGGUGAGGAAUACAUCGGAAUCUACUUUUUCGUGGGGGAUAACGUAGGGAAACUUACGCUAAUACCGCAUACGACCUACGGGUGAAAGCAGGGGAUCUUCGGACCUUGCGCGAUUGAAUGAGCCGAUGUCGGAUUAGCUAGUUGGCGGGGUAAAGGCCCACCAAGGCGACGAUCCGUAGCUGGUCUGAGAGGAUGAUCAGCCACCUGGGAACUGAGACACGGUCCAGACUCCUACGGGAGGCAGCAGUGGGGAAUAUUGGACAAUGGGCGCAAGCCUGAUCCAGCCAUACCGCGUGGGUGAAGAAGGCCUUCGGGUUGUAAAGCCCUUUUGUUGGGAAAGAAAAGCAGCAGGUUAAUACCCCGCUGUUCUGACGGUACCCAAAGAAUAAGCACCGGCUAACUUCGUG
Molecule: ribosomal RNA, 492 nt
Filed under: uncultured bacterium
Lineage: Bacteria
Description: partial 16S ribosomal RNA
Rfam family: Bacterial small subunit ribosomal RNA
Source: RNAcentral